Molecule: ribosomal RNA, 479 nt
Filed under: uncultured bacterium
Lineage: Bacteria
Description: partial 16S ribosomal RNA
Rfam family: Bacterial small subunit ribosomal RNA
Source: RNAcentral
GAUGAACGCUGGCGGCGUGCUUAACACAUGCAAGUCGAACGAAGCACUUUAACCUGAUUCUUCGGAUGAAGGUUUUUGUGACUGAGUGGCGGACGGGUGAGUAACGCGUGGGUAACCUGCCUCAUACAGGGGGAUAACAGUUAGAAAUGACUGCUAAUACCGCAUAAGACCACAGAGCCGCAUGGCUCGGUGGGAAAAACUCCGUUGGUAUGAGAUGGACCCGCGUCUGAUUAGGUAGUUGGUGGGGUAACGGCCUACCAAGCCAACGAUCAGUAGCCGACCUGAGAGGGUGACCGGCCACAUUGGGACUGAGACACGGCCCAAACUCCUACGGGAGGCAGCAGUGGGGAAUAUUGCACAAUGGGGGAAACCCUGAUGCAGCGACGCCGCGUGAGCGAAGAAGUAUUUCGGUAUGUAAAGCUCUAUCAGCAGGGAAGAAAAUGACGGUACCUGACGAAGAAGCACCGGCUAAAUACGUG